Molecule: non-coding RNA, 47 nt
Organism: Pteropus alecto (black flying fox)
Lineage: Eukaryota; Metazoa; Chordata; Mammalia; Chiroptera; Pteropodidae
Source: Rfam
ACAAAGGCUCUUUUCAGAGCCAACACAUCUUCCCCAGAAGAGCAAGU